GAAUUUUUUAUCACUCUAACAACUUUGAAAUUCGAUCUGAUAUAAAAUAUUAUAAGCUCGAUAUUUAAAGUGGUUUUCGUGAUAUUUUUCGUCC
This 94-nucleotide microRNA precursor is filed under the name Schmidtea mediterranea. RNAcentral's name for it is "microRNA sme-mir-2169 precursor". The record is from miRBase by way of RNAcentral. Lineage: Eukaryota; Metazoa; Platyhelminthes; Tricladida; Dugesiidae.